Long non-coding RNA from Gigantopelta aegis, 456 nucleotides. RefSeq lists it as uncharacterized. The record is from RefSeq and is a predicted model, not a curated record. The transcript is spliced from 3 exons. NCBI's taxonomy places the organism in Eukaryota, Metazoa, Mollusca, Gastropoda, Neomphalida, Peltospiridae.
AGUGAAUCAAGGAAAUAGAUUUCAAAUAGUUCCAUUAUUGUCGCUAGUAGCACAUUCCAUCCGCAUAAUAAAGUACACAACCUGUUGGCGAAAUACUGUACAUAGUAUAUAAAAGAAUUGUAGGAUAUAUAGAGAUUUGCAGCUACCUCGUUCGAAUAAUUAAUCCAUAACGUCACCAUGAUGAAGCUCAUGAUCGUCGCUGUUUUGUUGUGCUUACAAAUGGUCGCUGUCGUAAGCUAUGGCUAUGGCUAUGGAAUUGGUGUGGGUUACAGACGAUUCGAAGAUUUCGAAUACCCGAGUGACGGAAUUAUUAAAUACGGUCAUAUUUACGACUAACGGACAUUGAUGGCGGAAUGCAAGCAACGACAAGAUUUACGCACUAAAAGAGAUAUAAGAUCGUGUGGUAGGAUAAUUGUAUAAAGUAUGCAUUUCAGAAUAAAAAUCAUUUAACAGAAA